This is a long non-coding RNA of Oreochromis aureus, 1072 nucleotides long. RefSeq lists it as uncharacterized. NCBI's taxonomy places the organism in Eukaryota, Metazoa, Chordata, Actinopteri, Cichliformes, Cichlidae. The transcript is spliced from 4 exons. The record is from RefSeq and is a predicted model, not a curated record.
UGAUCAUUACUUAUACUGUUAUGUUUUGUAAAAACCUGCUAUCAUUACUAAACAACAUUAGUUAAUUGUACUUUUUAGCUGAAAUAGUAAGUGCCACUAAUCCGGUUUAGUAGAAUUAACUUGGUGUGUUUAGUUUUAUAACAAAGGGGAGGGGCCUAAUUCAAAACUUCACUGGGCGCCCCACAAGGCCUCUGCAACGGAUUCAACGCGGACUCUGCGGGAGGGAAGAAAGCAGACUGUUGCCGACAUUUUCUCAGCAGCAUUGAACGCCUUGAACGAUCCUUGUGUUGUGAAGAUGCUGUGGAAGUGAUUCUUCGAAAGCUUUACGGUGGACAGAUUCUGCAGGUUCUGCAUGGCAACAAGGGACGAGAUGCAAGCCAAAGAGAUGACUGCAAACCAGAAAAUGACCAUGAGAGUCAUUCUAACAGAGGCAGAUAUAAGGAAAGUCAUCCUACAUUCAAGGCCUUCUACAGUAAAAGACUUGAUAACCAAGCUUCGAGAGUCACUGGGACUUCAAUACAACUUCAGUCUCCAAUUCCAAGACCCUGAAUUCAAUAAUGAACUAUGUAAUCUAACAGAUCUUCAAGAACUUCCAGAAAAACCAACCAUUAAAGUCCUGCCUGUCUUUGACCUGGUGCCUGUCUCAUCUGAUGACGUCUUUAGCGACACAAGUACUGCAGAUACAGAGAUACUCUCACAUUCACCUCAGGAUCGACGUGAACCAUGGCCAGAAUUUUUGACAUUCCAACAUUUUCUGUUGAUGUGGAGUAUAGACUGAGGCAAGCAGAUUUGCUGUUUAUGAGUGAAGGAACACACCUUAAGGUCUCAAAAGAGCUGAAACAUGAGAUACUAGAGAGACUGGCAGAAAGCAUGUAUAGCUACACAGCAUACCCAACUGCUGCUCAGUUUGAAAGUGUUGCAACAGCACUGAUAAACAAACACCCCUGUCUCCAGGAGCGAGGCUCUGUCACUCGCUGUUGUGGUUGGAAAAAUAGUCUAAAGCAUAAAAUGGGAAAUUAUAGAACAAAGCGCAGGCAAUCAGGAUGCCUUGAUGUUGCAGUAAAUGCCGGUA